UUGAAUUUUAAUGAAGAGUUUGGUUGUAGCUGGCCCAUUCAUUUGGGCAUGUGCACACCUUCCUCUUUCAUCCCACACACACCUGUGAACCUGUGAGACAGAGAUGGGGAAUUUACUUGCUGCUUUUUGGAAUACAAAGGCAAUAGGUUAUUGGACCCCCCCUCUGUCUACUCAAUUAAUAUAAACUCAAUUUAUUUUAAAUCGAAUGUAAUGGAUGUAACACAUCUCAUAC
Molecule: unclassified non-coding RNA, 232 nt
Filed under: soil metagenome
Description: partial internal transcribed spacer 1
Source: RNAcentral